CUACGGGGCGCACCAGUGGGGAAUCUUAGACAAUGGGGGAAACCCUGAUCUAGCCAUGCCGCGUGAGCGACGACGGCCCUCGGGUUGUAAAGCUCUUUCAGCAGGGAAGAUAAUGACGGUACCUGCAGAAGAAGUCCCGGCUAACUCCGUGCCAGCAGCCGCGGUGAAUACGGAGGGGACUAGCGUUGUUCGGAAUUACUGGGCGUAAAGCGCGCGUAGGCGGAUUGUUAGGUCGGGGGUGAAAUCCCGGGGCUCAACCCCGGAACUGCCCUCGAUACUGGCAGUCUUGAGUUCGAGAGAGGUGAGUGGAAUUCCGGGUGUAGAGGUGAAAUUCGUAGAUAUUCGGAGGAACACCAGUGGCGAAGGCGGCUCACUGGCUCGAUACUGACGCUGAGGUGCGAAAGCGUGGGGAGCAAACAGGAUUAGAUACCCUUGUAGUC
This 440-nucleotide ribosomal RNA is filed under the name uncultured bacterium. RNAcentral describes it as "partial 16S ribosomal RNA". It matches the Rfam family "Bacterial small subunit ribosomal RNA", at positions 339 to 795 of the family's 1533-position model. The record is from RNAcentral.